Molecule: ribosomal RNA, 546 nt
Filed under: uncultured bacterium
Lineage: Bacteria
Description: partial 16S ribosomal RNA
Rfam family: Bacterial small subunit ribosomal RNA
Source: RNAcentral
UGGGGAAUUUUGGACAAUGGGCGAAAGCCUGAUCCAGCAAUGCCGCGUGUGUGAAGAAGGCCUUCGGGUUGUAAAGCACUUUUGUCCGGAAAGAAAUCCUUGGCUCUAAUACAGUCGGGGGAUGACGGUACCGGAAGAAUAAGCACCGGCUAACUACGUGCCAGCAGCCGCGGUAAUACGUAGGGUGCAAGCGUUAAUCGGAAUUACUGGGCGUAAAGCGUGCGCAGGCGGUUUGCUAAGACCGAUGUGAAAUCCCCGGGCUAACCUGGGAACUGCAUUGGUGACUGGCAGGCUAGAGUAUGGCAGAGGGGGGUAGAAUUCCACGUGUAGCAGUGAAAUGCGUAGAGAUGUGGAGGAAUACCGAUGGCGAAGGCAGCCCCCUGGGCCAAUACUGACGCUCAUGCACGAAAGCGUGGGGAGCAAACAGGAUUAGAUACCCUGGUAGUCCACGCCCUAAACGAUGUCAACUAGUUGUUGGGGAUUCAUUUCCUUAGUAACGUAGCUAACGCGUGAAGUUGACCGCCUGGGGAGUACGGUCGCAAGAUU